UACGGGGGGGGCAAGCGUUGUUCGGAAUUACUGGGCGUAAAGGGCUCGUAGGCGGUCAACUAAGUCGGAUGUGAAAUCCCCAGGCUUAACCUGGGAACUGCAUCCGAUACUGGAUGGCUUGAAUCCGGGAGAGGGAUGCAGAAUUCCAGGUGUAGCGGUGAAAUGCGUAGAUAUCAGGAGGAACACCGGUGGCGAAGGCGGGUCUCUGGGCCGAUACUGACGCUGAGGAGCGAAAGCGUGGGGAGCGAACAGG
RNAcentral lists this ribosomal RNA (253 nucleotides) under uncultured bacterium. RNAcentral describes it as "partial 16S ribosomal RNA". It matches the Rfam family "Bacterial small subunit ribosomal RNA", at positions 524 to 776 of the family's 1533-position model. The record is from RNAcentral.